AUGAUGCUACCGGUUCUGAAGCCGGUAGUGAUGAGGGUUAUGAGUCCUUGGAGGGCUAAGUUUAUUUUAUUUUUCAUAUUAUGUUUUAUUUCUAUUGUAUUUUCAGAUUUGUGUAUUUUGAUUUUGGUUAUGUACUUUUGGGGUGUUUUGUCCCCCAUGCACAAUUUUAAAUUUUGAAGUAAUGUUAUUAUUUAUGUUUUAAA
Molecule: long non-coding RNA, 203 nt
Filed under: Lathyrus oleraceus (garden pea)
Lineage: Eukaryota; Viridiplantae; Streptophyta; Magnoliopsida; Fabales; Fabaceae
Description: Pisum sativum (pea) long non-coding RNA (PSAT_LNC011770)
Source: RNAcentral